Molecule: ribosomal RNA, 253 nt
Filed under: uncultured bacterium
Lineage: Bacteria
Description: partial 16S ribosomal RNA
Rfam family: Bacterial small subunit ribosomal RNA
Source: RNAcentral
UACGGGGGGGGCAAGCGUUGUUCGGAAUUACUGGGCGUAAAGGGCUCGUAGGCGGCCAACUAAGUCAGACGUGAAAUCCCUCGGCUUAACCGGGGAACUGCGUCUGAUACUGGAUGGCUUGAGUUCGGGAGAGGGAUGCGGAAUUCCAGGUGUAGCGGUGAAAUGCGUAGAUAUCUGGAGGAACACCGGUGGCGAAGGCGGCAUCCUGGACCGGUACUGACGCUGAUGCGCGAAAGCGUGGGGAGCAAACAGG